UAUUUGCUUUGGUCUCAUAUACCCUAUAUCACAAAGGGAGAUGGUGAAUUCAACAUUCAUUGGCAGGAAGACGAUAGAUGACGUUUUCUGGCUCAAUGUUCUUCAUGGAAGAAGCAUUUCAAAAGGAAAAGGGCAAAGGAAAAGAAAAAUUCUGUUUGAUGAGAAAAUAGAGAAUUAGUGGAAAAUGAAUAAAUGAGAGGAAUGCUCUAAGUGACCCUACCUAAACAGGACUUAUAAAGAAAAGAGAAGAAAUGGAAUAUUCAGAACAAUUUCCCCUGGACUCUGAAGAUCUUUUCUAUAUACAUCCUCAAAAUUGUCAGUACUGCCCCUUCUUCACCCAAGGAACAAAAUGCUUAUUCAUCUUUUCUUGGAUGAUGGUUCAACAUCUCAGUGUUCCAGUAAAACAGAUAGCAAACUUUGUUGCUCCAAGAACUAAGCCUCUAGUACAAAAUGAAGAUGCUGCCAGGGAGCCGUGUAAGGCAAGUGAUCCAUAUCUGUACCAGUAACGAGUUGCUUCCAUUGAGACACUGUUAAUUCUCCUCUGCCCCAACGACUGUAGCAUCCAAACUGGCUGUAGAGUAAGUUUCCAGGCUGGUGCUAACUCUCAAGCCGUGGCUGGGAGCUGUUGGAUCAGUGCUUGCUGGCCAGUGUUAAAAUCAUGACAAGGCCCAUUCUAACAUUUUCAUAAUGUGUGUGCUAGUACUCGACUAUGUGCUUUAAACCCUUUUUAUUAUUCAAGAGGUAGUUAAAGCAUCAAUGUUGGCUUACAAAGGUACUGUACAGGUGAUAGGACUAGGUGCUUCCUCUUCAUCUUUUCCUCCUAGAUCUUGCACUUUAUGAACAUGUCCAUGGCCUUUCUUAAGGAACCAGGCAGCCCCAUCCACAGGCUAUGCCUGCACUUUCUACCUGUUGGUUUGCUAGACUUCAAACCAAGCUCAAACCUAAUAGGGUAGAUAUGGAUGGGUUCCCCUCAUCUGUUCAGGUCCUUUUUUCUAUGGAUUGCAUUACACUCUGCACAAACUCAGCCUCACUGAUCUGUACAUUUGAAAAAAAAAAAUGUAUAUAUAUAUAUGUUAGCCAGGUUCACAUCUUUGUACAUUUAGUAUGUUCAGCUAUUACUGCUGCCUACAGGACCUUUCCAUCUUAGGUUUCUGCCUCACCAAGGAACUCCACAUCAUUACCUCAGAGACUUUAUUAAUGUCUUUUAGCCUAACUUUAUAAAUUAUUUUGCAUUUUUUAUACACCUAGCCCAAAUAACACUUUUGUUGUUACUAUUCCUUAUUAUUAUUAUUAUAAUUUUUAUUACAGUUAGUGCUUCUGUAUUGACUGUUCAGAGAGGAAAAGAACUCAUUGAAAUGGUGGCAAACACACUGGAAAGAUUCCUCUAAAAUGGAAAACUGUUUUGACUUUUUGCAUUUUAUUCUCAAAGAGAGGUCUUUUAUCGACACCAGCUCAGCACCUUGGAGAGAAAAAUGGUGUCUUGAAAAGGGCUUUUAAUCCCUGAGGUUGGCUGUGGUUUUGUUUUUGUUGCUGUUGUUGUUUUUCUUUUCGCUAGACUUUGUAAACACUAUUUUUUUCUCUGAAAAGGUAAUGCAUAUAAUUGUGGGAACUUCCAUCUAUUUUGUAAGCAAUAUGGUCUAAGCAUAAUAAAUUUAAAAAAUAUU
This is a non-coding RNA of Anas platyrhynchos (mallard), 1664 nucleotides long. The record is from RefSeq and is a predicted model, not a curated record. NCBI's taxonomy places the organism in Eukaryota, Metazoa, Chordata, Aves, Anseriformes, Anatidae.